This 261-nucleotide ribosomal RNA is filed under the name uncultured bacterium. Its description in RNAcentral is "partial 16S ribosomal RNA". It matches the Rfam family "Bacterial small subunit ribosomal RNA", at positions 96 to 354 of the family's 1533-position model. The record is from RNAcentral.
UGGCGGACGGGUGAGUAACGCGUGGGGAACCUGCCCUGUACCGGGGGAUAGCAGCCGGAAACGGCUGAUAAUACCGCAUAAGCGCACGAAUGUCGCAUGACAUGGUGUGAAAAACUCCGGUGGUAUAGGAUGGACCCGCGUCUGAUUAGCCGGUUGGUGGGGUAAAAGCCUACCAAAGCGAAGAUCAGUAGCCGAGUUGAGAGACUGACCGGCCACAUUGGGACUGAGACACGGCCCAGACUCCUACGGGAGGCAGCAGGC